CCCUUAGAUGUUCUGGGCCGCACGCGCGCUACAAUGGUCUUCGCAAACGGAUGCAUUCUCGAAGGAGAAUGCCAAUCUUGGAAUCUAUGCCUUGGUCGGGACAGUUGCUUGCAAUUUUUCGACUCGAACCAGGAAUUCCUUGUAAUCGUGAUUCAUCACAUCACGAUGAAUACGUCCCUGCCCUUUGUACACACCGUCCGUCGCUCCUACCGAUCGAAGAGUUAGGUGAAUUGUUUUGAUCGAUAAGAUUUGACUAUGGUCAACUCUCGUUGUGAAAUUCUGUGAAUCUGACUGUUUAGAGGAAGGAAAAGUCGUAACA
RNAcentral lists this ribosomal RNA (319 nucleotides) under uncultured eukaryote. Its description in RNAcentral is "partial 18S ribosomal RNA". It matches the Rfam family "Eukaryotic small subunit ribosomal RNA", at positions 1470 to 1796 of the family's 1831-position model. The record is from RNAcentral.